Long non-coding RNA from Oxyura jamaicensis (ruddy duck), 265 nucleotides. RefSeq lists it as uncharacterized. The transcript has 3 exons. Lineage: Eukaryota; Metazoa; Chordata; Aves; Anseriformes; Anatidae. The record is from RefSeq and is a predicted model, not a curated record.
CAUAAGAUGACGGGAAUAUGAAAACAGAAAAAAUGUGGCAUGAGGGAUGCUUCAUGUUUAUGCCUAAGAGAUCAAAAAAGAAACGAAAAAUAAGUAUGAGACUAUGAAGCAAUAUAGUAGCAAGCUGAUCCGACUCAACGUAAUCCCAGAACGUUCAAGCAGCCUUUUAUAGUAUUUCAUUUCACUGCAGUGAUGACAGCAGUUUCAUUUCAAUGAUGGAAAAGAAUCCUAUACUUCUGUGAAGCACAGAAAGUUAUAAACAAAA